UGCAAGAAGGUUGAUCAAUAAGGUGAUCAUGAUAAUUACAAGUCAUUCAGAAAAUAUAUAGAUAAAGGUUGAAAGCAAAGCCGUGAAUAAUAUACACAGUUAUGACAAUAGAUAAAUGUAUAUAUAUGAGUAUUCCAAUAGCGAGAAGACAGGUGCACGUUACAAAAGGACAUGAUAUAUACAGCAUGUUGUACGUAAACGGUAAAUCUCAAAUGAAAUAGAGCCUUACGUAUAUAUAUAAAGUUAUAUAUACAAGUGUACGUAACGUGUUUUUGUAUGUGUAGAAUGUGGGGGAUGCAAAAGCUUUGUGAAGUAGUUAAAUACCAAGUAUGAUACUCAAUAUACAUAGGGUCCCCAUAUAGGUCAUGUGUUUUUGUCUCUCAAACAAUCUAUAUUCGUAUAUGUACCAGAACUAGAUUAUAACAUAUUCUUUAGCUUACGAUCAAAUUAAUUUACUAUAUGCUUUUAAUCUUUUAUAAAAAUGCAAUUCUAAUAGCAGAUUCGACUAAAAUCUAGCUAUGGUAACUCUAAAAUCACUGGUGUAUCUUAAAUACAUGUCCUCAGUAAAUCUAUCGAUCAGAUCAAAAAUAAAAAUAGAAGCCAAGAUUGGUACGAAACCAUACAAUGGCAACUUUUUAUUUAAUUUGCCAAUAUAUAUAUUUGACAUUAUUACGGCAUGUUCUAUAUAUUUAAGUGUUUCCAUCUUCCACACUUCUCCACAUUAUCAUCAGCUGUUGCUUUUUUCAACCAUAUCUUAAAUAUAAUCUUAUAAGUAAAGCGUAAACAAAGUUGUUAAAGUGAUUAUAAGUUUGUGAUUAGUCGUCACAGUCUUAAAUCACCUUAUAGACUUAUAGUUCUUACCCUUUUGUUUCAGGCAGCAAUCAGCAUCAAAGCCAGAGAGUCAGAGCAGCUGUUGUAUCUAGCCUCCAUGCAAAGCCACCAAACUCCAUUUUCCACACAUCACACGGCACCGUUUUGGUAUACUUUGUUUCUUGCCACGUGUACUGCAUCCUCACCCUACACGUGAAAGCUCGGUAGUUACAAUACAUCGCCACCGUCGACUCCUCCGCCACCAACCAAACCACAACAUCCGGCAACGACGACGACGAAUCUUCACCGGAAACAUUCCUCCGGUAAGCCUCGUUAACCCACACCACACGGUUCGAGCCGUCCGAUACGAAAGCUGGACACGUGUCCUUGCCUAGAUUGUCCACCAUCUCAGCGUCCGUACACUCCACCGCAUGGGAACUCGAACUACCGUCACAGACCCCUGUUACGGACUCCACCGUGACCCACGUCUCCACCUCCACCGUUGCGCCGCCGUUAAACGUACCCCACGCGUUGGUUUCUCGUGUUUUCUCUCCGAUUAUCGUUUUCACCGUCGGAUCGAGACUAUCCUGAUCUAACGGCGUGUAUUCGCCGGAAAGAUCGGCUUUUUCAGGCAGAAGUUGCAGCGUCACGGCUCUAGAUUGUUCCCGAUCAUCAGAAAGGUCAGAUCUGCUCUUUCCUCGACACGUGCUUUUAUUAUUCUUGGAAACCUUAACGUACUUUCGUUUGGUUCGUUUGCUCAUACUGUUGUUGUUGUUAUCUCCUGCAGCGCAUGGAUUACCAGUCGUCGGUUUUGGAGCGAUCGGACGGUACCGGAGCAUGAGAGUAUCAACGGAAACCUUAUCUUGCGCUUUACCGGCGUAUCUUAGCGUUCCCUGCAGCCACUCAUCUUGAUCCAUUAUCUUUCUCUCUCUUCUCA
RNAcentral lists this long non-coding RNA (1747 nucleotides) under Eutrema salsugineum. RNAcentral's name for it is "long non-coding RNA (ESAL_LNC000467)". The record is from RNAcentral. Lineage: Eukaryota; Viridiplantae; Streptophyta; Magnoliopsida; Brassicales; Brassicaceae.